Non-coding RNA from Parelaphostrongylus tenuis, 72 nucleotides. Lineage: Eukaryota; Metazoa; Nematoda; Chromadorea; Rhabditida; Metastrongylidae. The record is from the annotation of a GenBank genome assembly.
GCGUCAGUAGUGCAACGGUCAGCACGCGCCUCUGAAAAGAGUGAGAUCCGGGCCCGAACCCCGGCCGACGCA